GAAGGCAGAGACUAGGAAAUUAACAUUAAGGGAUGGAUGGUGCUUUGGGGAGGGUUUUUGUCCCCUUUACUAAGCAUCAGGGCUGAGCACUGCUCAGUAGUGUUGGACACUCCAGUGUUGAUCAACUGAUCCUUUCUGAUUUUUUUUUUUUGGUUCAGGCAAUUCAAAUGAGUGUCUCCAGAAUAGUGGCUUUGAAUACACCAUUUGCUUUCUGCCACCACUUGUGCUGAACUUUGAACUGCCACCAGAUUAUCCAUCCUCCUCCCCACCUUCAUUCACACUUAGUGGCAAAUGGCUGUCACCAACUCAG
Molecule: long non-coding RNA, 310 nt
Filed under: Rattus norvegicus (Norway rat)
Lineage: Eukaryota; Metazoa; Chordata; Mammalia; Rodentia; Muridae
Description: long non-coding RNA NONRATT013389
Source: RNAcentral